GAUCCUGGCUCAGGAUGAACGCUAGCGACAGGCUAACACAUGCAAGUCGAGGGCAGCAUAAAAGUAGCAAUACGUUGGUGGCGACCGGCGCACGGGUGAGUAACGCGUAUGCAACCUACCUAUCAGAGGGGAAUAACCCGGCGAAAGUCGGACUAAUACCGCAUAAAACAGGGGCACCGCAUGGUGAUAUUUGUUAAAGAAAUUCGCUGAUAGAUGGGCAUGCGUUCCAUUAGGUAGUUGGUGAGGUAACGGCUCACCAAGCCGACGAUGGAUAGGGGAACUGAGAGGUUGGUCCCCCACACUGGUACUGAGACACGGACCAGACUCCUACGGGAGGCAGCAGUGAGGAAUAUUGGUCAAUGGGCGGGAGCCUGAACCAGCCAAGUCGCGUGAAGGAAAGAAGGAUCUAUGGUUCGUAAACUUCUUUUGCAGGGGAAUAAAGUGCAGGACGUGUCCUGUUUUGUAUGUACCCUGAGAAUAAGGAUCGGCUAACUCCGUGCCAGCAGCAGC
Molecule: ribosomal RNA, 510 nt
Filed under: uncultured bacterium
Lineage: Bacteria
Description: bacterial SSU rRNA
Rfam family: Bacterial small subunit ribosomal RNA
Source: RNAcentral